AAUACGUUAGUUCUCCGAGCCUGAUUACCUGCGGCAAUAGCUAUGGUCUUCAGGCCGCUGGGUAUAUCCGGAAACAGGUAUGCCUCCCGUUAUGGAAAGGGGAAUAUGUGUAAGUUUA
Desulfotomaculum sp. 46_80 is the source of this 118-nucleotide non-coding RNA. The record is from Rfam. Lineage: Bacteria; Bacillati; Bacillota; Clostridia; Eubacteriales; Desulfotomaculaceae.